This is an RNA transcript of Phragmites australis (common reed), 1199 nucleotides long. It is a transcript of the gene named dihydroceramide fatty acyl 2-hydroxylase FAH1-like, with no coding region annotated. The transcript is spliced from 8 exons. Lineage: Eukaryota; Viridiplantae; Streptophyta; Magnoliopsida; Poales; Poaceae. The record is from RefSeq and is a predicted model, not a curated record.
GGCGGAUCGCCAAUUAUAGAGGCACCCCUGCAAAAAUCCGUUAUUUCCAAACCCGCACAGCUCGCUACUGGGGAUUCCCGGGGGCAGACGGGGAGAGGGGAGGAGGCGGAAACAUUUUUGCCAGAUAACCCUCCUUUUUCCCCUCUUAUUCCGUCCCCGCCCCUCGCGUCAUCCGCUCGUCUCAUCUUCCCUUCUCUCUCGCCGCCUGGGGAGGAGGGCUCCGCCUCCCGGGAAGAGGCCGCCAUUGGCUCACUGCUCUGACGGGAAAGAUGGUUGUCCAGGAGUUCACUGUUGAUCUGAACAAGCCUCUUGUUUUCCAGGUUGGUCAUCUCGAGGAACGUUAUCAGGAAUGGGUUCACCAACCUAUCGUGAGCAAGGAGGGUCCACGCUUUUUUGGAAAUGACAUCUUGGAGUUCUUGACACGCACAAAGUGGUGGGCUGUGCCAACCAUAUGGCUGCCUAUUGUUUGCCGGUUGUUCGUGAAGUGUAUUCUGAUGGGUCGUACCAUUCAGGAAGUAGCUCUAAUGGCUCUAUUUGGAGUAUUCAUUUGGACAUUUGUUGAAUAUACAUUGCACCGCUUCCUAUUCCACAUUGAUACCAAAACCUAUUGGUCAAACACCGCACAUUACCUUCUUCACGGAUGCCACCAUAAGCACCCCAUGGACUCUCUCAGGCUUGUAUUUCCUCCUGCUGCAGCAGCAAUUUUGUGUGUCCCGUUCUGGAACCUGGUCGCGUUCUUCUCAACUCCAUCCACCACUCCCGCAAUAUUUGGUGGUGGCCUGUUAGGAUAUGUGAUGUAUGACUGCACUCACUACUAUCUGCACCAUGGACAACCAUUCAAAUACCCAGCGAAACAACUCAAGCGGUAUCACCUCAACCACCACUUCAGAAUCCAAGACAAGGGCUUUGGCAUCACCUCAUCAUUCUGGGAUGCUGUUUUUGGGACAUUGCCUCCAUCGACAACCAGGAAGAACUGACGCACAUAACACAAUCUUUGAAUGAAAACUUUUAGUGGAUUUGUAAUAUAUCGAGAUGCCAGAUUCCCUUGCUUUUCUCUGGGUGCCCACUACGAGUUGUCUGACAGCAAGAUGUGAUGAAAUCGUAAGAGAAAUAAUAUAGAAGCAUUACAGCUGGGAGAAGUGGGGAUAUCAGAUGGAUAUUCUAGGUGUCUACCUAGUCUACGGAAUACUGACUUAGAA